UACGUAGGGUGCGAGCGUUAAUCGGAAUUACUGGGCGUAAAGCGUGCGCAGGCGGUUUUGUAAGCCAGAUGUGAAAUCCCCGGGCUCAACCUGGGAAUGGCAUUUGGGACUGCAAGGCUCGAGUGCGGCAGAGGAGACUGGAAUUCCUGGUGUAGCAGUGAAAUGCGUAGAUAUCAGGAGGAAUACCGAUGGCGAAGGCAGGUCUCUGGGCUGACACUGACGCUCAUGCACGAAAGCGUGGGGAGCAACCAGG
RNAcentral lists this ribosomal RNA (253 nucleotides) under uncultured bacterium. RNAcentral describes it as "partial 16S ribosomal RNA". It matches the Rfam family "Bacterial small subunit ribosomal RNA", at positions 524 to 776 of the family's 1533-position model. The record is from RNAcentral.